Papaver somniferum (opium poppy) is the source of this 1518-nucleotide long non-coding RNA. RefSeq lists it as uncharacterized. The transcript has 2 exons. The record is from RefSeq and is a predicted model, not a curated record. NCBI's taxonomy places the organism in Eukaryota, Viridiplantae, Streptophyta, Magnoliopsida, Ranunculales, Papaveraceae.
CCUAAACCUUAAAAAGACUUUUUCUCUCUUCUACACGCCAAGGCGGCCACACCACUUCCUCCUCCCCCUUACGUUUCUUUUAUUCACUUCUUAUGAUUUCAGAGGUAAAAAUGAUCUCAUAAAUGAAGGGGCUGAAAACAACCCACAUUAAGAUGAAUAUCUAAUAACAGAAUCAAUAUAAGAAUUUGAGAAGAAUCAAGCGAUAGAAUCAUGGAGUUUUGUGCUUAAUUUAAGGUGGUUGAUGAUCAAUGGGUAAUGAAUUUUAAGGUGCUUUGAGGAACCUGUUGUUAGUUGAUUCUACGACAUCAGUUGAAUUUUUUGCUUCAAUUACACCGUAUAAUGUUUUUGUGAAUGUGGGUUGUAUAUGGGAUAAUGGGUCGUACCCAGUGAGUUAUUGAAUAGUUGAUCUUCUUCCUCGUUUCUCUGAUACUGCAAUUUCAUUCCCUGUGUUGAUGAAGUGUACCAGAGAGAGACUAGUUUUACAAGGAUGGAGGGACAAAGAUUGUCAGAGAGAUAAAAAAUCUGAGCUAAAGACAUCUUUAUCUCAUCCUUAAGAAGAGGAGCAGCAACCACUAUUCUGAGUCACGGGUUGUCCUCGGAUAUAAACGGUUGGAGGCUUAGCGCUGUUCAUAGCAGGUUGGCUUGCCAUCCUGAAAAACCCCAAUUUACAAAUUAACGUGGGAUAUAAGUGAUAAGAUACGGACUACAAGUGAGUGAUGGCACAGUUAAACACUAAUAAAGGUAGUACCCAUCAACACAGCAUUUGAUCAAUUUUAUCAAUUUGAAGCGAUGAUCGGUGGGAGAGACGAGCUGAAGAACAAUGGAAAAGAUGGAGAAGAAGAAGAAGUGCCGCCGUCUGAAUCGAAUAUAAUUUAGUUUUUUUUCUUUUUCUUUUUCUUUAGAUUUUAUUGUUGGGGUGGUUCUUUAUCGGGGUGUAAACAAAAAGUCAAAAAGUUAGUAUUUAGGAUAAAUGAGAACGAAUUGGGGUGGCAAAUAGGAGAAAUGAGGGUGGCAAUUAGGAAAAGUGGGGGUGGCAAAUAGGUGGAGCCUUGUCUAUUGCUAUCGAUUUCCAGUCUCACUUUUGAUCUACGAUCAAAAAGGAAAUCACACAUAUAAGAUUAUCUGUGGGAGGCAUAUUGGUUUAUAGUCUUCAAUUGAGUUGAAGCAAUUCUUAGGUUGUAAAGGAUGUCAGCUAAGGGAAUCAAUUGUGCGGAGUCCUGCUGGAAUUCAAGAGGCGUAAGGAUCAUGACUGUAACUGAAUUGUUGUGAGCGUUUAAUUUGGUCUCCACUACAUUCCAGCCCGAAGUUAAUUGGUAGUAGGCUAGUGUGUGUAGCGGUUUAAUAAAGUUUGGUGUUCAAAUCUGGACUAGGUCCCUGGGUUUUAUCAGCAUUUGAGGUUUUCCUCGUUAACAAAAUUUCUGGUACCUGUGUUAUUUCUUUUCAACAUUAUAUUGUUUAUCAUUAUAAUUGAAAUAUCAUAGGUUGUAUGUAAAUCAAUUAAACCAGUUAGUCAUCCAA